AUAUCUGUGGAGUUAGUGACUGAUACUGUAGUGUCUAGGAUAUCUGUGGAGUUAGUGACUGAUACUGUAGUGUCUAGGAUAUCUGUGGAGUUAGUGACUGAUACUGUAGUGUCUAGGAUAUCUGUGGAGUUAGUGACUGAUACUGUAGUGUCUAGGAUGUAGUGUCUCGGAUAUCUGUGGAGGUAGUGACUGAUACUGUAGUGUCUAGGAUAUCUGUGGAGUUAGUGACUGAUACUGUAGUGUCUAGGAUAUCUGUGGAGUUAGUGACUGAUACUGUAGUGUCUAGGAUAUCUGUGGAGUUAGUGACUGAUACUGUAGUGUCUAGGAUGUAGUGUCUCGGAUAUCUGUGGAGUUAGUGACUGAUACUGUAGUGUCUAGGAUAUCUGUGGAGUUAGUGACUGAUACUGUAGUGUCUAGGAUAUCUGUGGAGUUAGUGACUGAUACUGUAGUGUCUAGGAUAUCUGUGGAGUCUGAAGAAUCUGCCAUGCGGGUGUUCGUAUGACUUCAUCAAACCAGGCAAUAAAUUAAAUUGACCACAGCAGUAUUGUAAAUAACAAUUAGUUCUUAACUGACUUGCCAAGUUAAAUAAAAUAAAAAAUACAUAAAAAUAUUAAAAACACAACCCAGUUAGAAAAGUUUGAAAUAUGAUGUAACAUUUGAAUAUGAUGUAACAUCUAACAUGUGGAUAUGUGAUCAACUCUAUAUAUCAGGAGCUUGUGUAUGGAGAAAUUAUUAAUAAAUAAAGUAAAAAUGAUUAUGGUGAAGAAACUCUUGGAACAAACAAGAUACAAUAUCUAACCUCAGAACCUCUCCAUAAACAUGUCUUUAUCUGUCUCUAGACGUCAGACAUUAACCUCUCCAUAAACAUGUCUUUAUGAAUAUAUACUGAACAAAAAUAUA
This 900-nucleotide long non-coding RNA is filed under the name Salmo salar (Atlantic salmon). Its description in RNAcentral is "lncRNA (ENSSSAG00000094981.1, ENSSSAG00000120240.1)". Lineage: Eukaryota; Metazoa; Chordata; Actinopteri; Salmoniformes; Salmonidae. The record is from RNAcentral.